Molecule: ribosomal RNA, 252 nt
Filed under: uncultured bacterium
Lineage: Bacteria
Description: partial 16S ribosomal RNA
Rfam family: Bacterial small subunit ribosomal RNA
Source: RNAcentral
UACGUAGGGGGCGAGCGUUGUCCGGAAUUAUUGGGCGUAAAGGGUUCGUAGGCGGUUAUUUAAGUCAGGUGUGAAAGGCAUGGGCUUAACCUGUGUAAGCACUUGAAACUGGAUAACUUGAGUUAAGGAGAGGAAAGUGGAAUUCCUAGUGUAGCGGUGAAAUGCGUAGAUAUUAGGAGGAAUACCAGUGGCGAAGGCGACUUUCUGGACUUAUACUGACGCUGAGGAACGAAAGCGUGGGGAGCAAACAGG